This is a long non-coding RNA of Oncorhynchus keta (chum salmon), 2031 nucleotides long. RefSeq lists it as uncharacterized. The record is from RefSeq and is a predicted model, not a curated record. The transcript is spliced from 3 exons. Lineage: Eukaryota; Metazoa; Chordata; Actinopteri; Salmoniformes; Salmonidae.
UGUCCUGUCCAGGGGGUGUACUAGUGUCCUGUCCAGGGGGUGGACUAGUGUCCUGUCCAGGGGGUGUACUAGUGUCCUGUCCAGGGGGUGGACUAGUGUCCUGUCCAGGGGGUGGACUAGUGUCCUGUCCAGGGGGUGGACUAGUGUCCUGUCCAGGGGGUGUACUAGUGUCCUGUCCAGGGGGUGGACUAGUGUCCUGUCCAGGGGGUGGACUAGUGUCCUGUCCAGGGGGUGGACUAGUGUCCUGUCCAGGGGGUGGACUAGUGUCCUGUCCAGGGGGUGGACUAGUGUCCUGUCCAGGGGGUGGACUAGUGUCCUGUCCAGGGGGUGUACUAGUGUCCUGUCCAGGGGGUGGACUAGUGUCCUGUCCAGGGGGCGGACUAGUGUCCUGUCCAGGGGGUGUACUAGUGUCCUGCCCAGGGGGUGUACUAGUGUCCUGUCCAGGGGGUGGACUAGUGUCCUGUCCAGGGGGUGAAUACGAUUCAAUGCGAUACAACACGAUUCAAUGUGAUACAACACGAUUCAAUGCAAUACCAAUACGAUUCAAUGCAAUACCAUACGAUUCAAUGCAAUACCAAUACGAUUCAAUGCAAUACCAUACGAUUCAAUGCAAUACCAAUACGAUUCAAUGCAAUACCAUACGAUUCAAUGCAAUACCAUACGAUUCAAUGUGAUACAAUAUGAUUCAAUGCAAUACCAAUACGAUUCAAUGUGAUAACAUUUGUUGCAUAAACACAUUCAUUUUCCUUUUUAUAUUCACAUCUAUUGCUGAUGGAGCUCGUGAGCUGGGCCUCUCUGAGCUGCAUCUGUCUGAGCUGUGUGUGUGUGUGUGUGUGUGUGUGUGUGUGUGUGUGUGUGUGUGUGUGUGUGUGUGUGUGUGUGUGUGUGUGUGUGUGUGUGUGUGUGUGUGUGUGUGUGUGUGUGUGUGUGUGUGUGUGUGUGUGUGUGUGUGUGUGUGUGUGUUUAUUCAAUCCAUUUUAGAGUAAGGCUGUUAAGUAACUGUGUAAAAAGUCAAGGGGUCUGAAUACUUUCCGAAGGCCAUGUAUCUUGAUUAGAUAACUAUUCACCACCUGAGUCAAUAGAGAUUACAGCUGUGAGUCUUUCUGGGUAAGUCUCUAAGAGCUUUUCACACCUGGAUUGUACAAUAUUCUGACAUUAUUAUUUUCAAAAUUCAUCAAGCGCUGUCAAAUUAUACAUAUGAUGAGAGGUGUUCCAGUCUCCAUACAUAAUGAUGAGAGGUGUUCCAGUCUCCAUACAUAAUGAUGAGAGGUGUUCCAGUCUCCCUACAUAAUGAUGAGAAGUGUUCCAGUCUCCCUACAUAGUGAUGAGAGGUGUUCCAGUCUCCAUACAUAAUGAUGAGAGGUGUUCCAGUCUCCCUACAUAGUGAUGAGAGGUGUUCCAGUCUCCAUACAUAAUGAUGAGAGGUGUUCCAGUCUCCAUACAUAAUGAUGAGAGGUGUUCCAGUCUCCCUACAUAGUGAUGAGAGGUGUUCCAGUCUCCAUACAUAAUGAUGAGAGGUGUUCCAGUCUCCAUACAUAAUGAUGAGAGGUGUUCCAGUCUCCCUACAUAAUGAUGAGAGGUGUUCCAGUCUCCCUACAUAAUGAUGAGAGGUGUUCCAGUCUCCCUACAUAAUGAUGAGAGGUGUUCCAGUCUCCAUACAUAAUGAUGAGAGGUGUUCCAGUCUCCCUACAUAAUUAUACAUGAUGGGAGGGUGUUUCAGACAUAAUUAUGCGCUAUAGCUGUAUUUGCUGCUAUAACAGGAUGGGCACUGAUGUUGGGGGCGAUUAGGCCAGGCUCGCAGUCGGCGUUCCAAUUCAUUCCAAAGGUGUUCGAUGGGGUUGAGGUCAGGGCUCUGUGCAGGCCAGUCAAGUUCUUCCACAUCGAUCUCAGCAAACCAUUUCUACAUUUACAUUUACAUUUAAGUCAUUUAGCAGACGCUCUUAUCCAGAGCGACUUACAAAUUGGUGCAUACACCUUAUGACAUCCAGUGGAACAGCCACUUUACAAUAGUGCAUCUAAAUAUUUUUAGGG